Molecule: unclassified non-coding RNA, 300 nt
Filed under: Herpotrichiellaceae sp.
Lineage: Eukaryota; Fungi; Ascomycota; Eurotiomycetes; Chaetothyriales; Herpotrichiellaceae
Description: partial contains internal transcribed spacer 1
Source: RNAcentral
AAGUCGUAACAAGGUUUCCGUAGGUGAGUCAUAAUCUUUUCUUUUUUGUUUUGUUUAUUAGUAAUCUUAAGUAGCAUUUCGCUAAUAUAAUUUCCAGGUGAACCUGCGGAAGGAUCAUUACCGAGUAAGGGUCUUCCAGGCCCGACCUCCAACCCUCUGUUUAACCAACCACGUUGCUUUGGCGGGCCCGUCCUUUGGGGCCGCCGGGGGCUUUACCGCCUCUGGCCCGUGCCCGCCGGUAGCCAUUUUAAAUUCUGAUAACUGUGCCGUCUGAGUAUAGAUAUAAAUCGUUAAAAACUU